GCCUGGGUGGCUCAGUCGGUUAAGCGUCCGACUUCGGCUCAGGUCACAAUCUCACUGUCCGUGGGUUCGAGCCCCGCAUCGGGCU
Molecule: non-coding RNA, 85 nt
Organism: Felis catus (domestic cat)
Lineage: Eukaryota; Metazoa; Chordata; Mammalia; Carnivora; Felidae
Source: Rfam